GGUCCCGUAGUGUAGCGGUUAUCACGUCGCCCUGUCACGGCGAAGAUCGCGGGUUCGAUUCCCGUCGGGACCG
Molecule: non-coding RNA, 73 nt
Organism: Pilibacter termitis
Lineage: Bacteria; Bacillati; Bacillota; Bacilli; Lactobacillales; Enterococcaceae
Source: Rfam